This 494-nucleotide ribosomal RNA is filed under the name uncultured bacterium. RNAcentral's name for it is "partial 16S ribosomal RNA". It matches the Rfam family "Bacterial small subunit ribosomal RNA", at positions 28 to 507 of the family's 1533-position model. The record is from RNAcentral.
GACGAACGCUGGCGGCGUGCUUAACACAUGCAAGUCGAACGGUGAAGCGCCUUCCUUUUUGGUGGGUGUGGAUGAGUGGCGAACGGGUGAGUAACACGUGAGUAACCUGCCCCCUUCUUCUGGAUAACCGCAUGAAAGUGUGGCUAAUACGGGAUAUUCUGGGUCUGUCGCAUGAUGGGUCUGGGAAAGAUAUUGUUUCGGUGGGGGAUGGGCUCGCGGCCUAUCAGCUUGUUGGUGGGGUGAUGGCCUACCAAGGCGGUGACGGGUAGCCGGCCUGGGAGGGUGGACGGUCACACUGGGACUGAGACACGGCCCAGACUCCUACGCGAGGCAGCAGUGGGGAAUAUUGCACAAUGGGGGCAAGCCUGAUGCAGCGACGCCGCGUGAGGGAUGGAGGCCUUCGGGUUGUGAACCUCUUUCGCCAGUGAAGCAGGCCUGCCUCGUUUGUGGGUGGGUUGACGGUAGCUGGAUAAGAAGCGCCGGCUAACUACGUG